UGCAGCAGGUUUGAGUUGAGCGCAGCGAAACAACGGAGCCGCUCGCGGCGACGGCCCGAAGGGCGAGCGAAGCGAGUCAUCCUGCACGACCCACCA
RNAcentral lists this small RNA (96 nucleotides) under Escherichia coli. RNAcentral describes it as "partial RtT sRNA". It matches the Rfam family "RtT RNA", at positions 33 to 130 of the family's 130-position model. Rfam says of the family: This family represents a bacterial cis-regulatory element known as RtT RNA. The exact function of RtT is unknown although it is thought that it may be involved in changing the cellular response in relation to amino acid starvation. RNAcentral also lists the same sequence under 1 other name. Lineage: Bacteria; Pseudomonadati; Pseudomonadota; Gammaproteobacteria; Enterobacterales; Enterobacteriaceae. The record is from RNAcentral.